GUUAAGUGAGGCCGCGGUCUGGUUGGAUUGAGGAAUCCAGGAUCGGGUCUUACACUGCAUGACUGGAGCUCAUGCAAGGCGCCACACAUCCUCACACAUGUCGAUCAGCAUGCUUCGAUUGCAUGCAUCGCGACAUCUCGUGCUUGGCCGAUCCACCUCGUGCUCCACAUGGCUGGCUGCAUGUACAGGGCACAUGCAGGACGCCACCACUCCUCCCAGAUGUCAGGCUGCAUGACUGGAACUCAUGCAAGGCGCCACAGCAUCACACACAUGGCUGGCCGCAUGCUUCAGUUGCAUGCGCGGAGACACCUCGUGCUUGGUCGAUCCAC
Molecule: long non-coding RNA, 329 nt
Filed under: Brassica rapa (field mustard)
Lineage: Eukaryota; Viridiplantae; Streptophyta; Magnoliopsida; Brassicales; Brassicaceae
Description: long non-coding RNA (BRAP_LNC008027)
Source: RNAcentral